GAUGAAGAACGUAGCGAAUUGCGAUAAGUAAUGUGAAUUGCAGAUUUUCAGUGAAUCAUUGAAUCUUUGAACGCACCUUGCGCUCCUUGGUAUUCCGAGGAGCAUGCCUGUUUGAGUGUCAUUAAAUUCUCAACCAUUAUCAACUUUUGCUGAUAAUGGCUUGGAUGUGGGGGUCUAUUUUGCUGGCUUCUCAGAUAGUCAGCUCCCCUUAAAUGCAUUAGCCGGUGCCCCGCGUGGACUGUCUAUUGGUGUGAUAAUUAUCUACGCUAUAGACAUCUGCAAUCAUAUGGGUUUGCGCUGCUUCUAACAGUCUGUUGAUUCAGACAAUACAUGACAAUUUGACCUCAAAUCAGGUAGGACUACCCGCUGAACUUAAGCAUAUCAAUAAGCGGAGGA
This 396-nucleotide unclassified non-coding RNA is filed under the name soil metagenome. RNAcentral describes it as "partial contains 5.8S ribosomal RNA, internal transcribed spacer 2, and large subunit ribosomal RNA". The stretch from base 1 to 121 matches the Rfam family "5.8S ribosomal RNA", at positions 35 to 154 of the family's 154-position model. The record is from RNAcentral.